UGCGGGGUGGAGCAGUUGGUAGCUCGUCGGGCUCAUAACCCGAAGGCCAUCGGUUCGAGUCCGGUCCCCGCUA
Molecule: transfer RNA, 73 nt
Filed under: Bacteroidota bacterium
Lineage: Bacteria; Pseudomonadati; Bacteroidota
Also listed under: 3 other names
Description: tRNA-Met
Rfam family: tRNA
About the family: Transfer RNA (tRNA) molecules are approximately 80 nucleotides in length.
Source: RNAcentral